Molecule: ribosomal RNA, 473 nt
Filed under: uncultured bacterium
Lineage: Bacteria
Description: partial 16S ribosomal RNA
Rfam family: Bacterial small subunit ribosomal RNA
Source: RNAcentral
GGUGAACGCUGGCGGCGUGCCUAAGACAUGCAAGUCGAGCGGGCCGCGGGGUUUUACUCCGUGGUCAGCGGCGGACGGGUGAGUAACGCGUGGGUGACCUACCCGGAAGAGGGGGACAACCCGGGGAAACUCGGGCUAAUCCCCCAUGUGGACCCGCCCCUUGGGGUGUGUCCAAAGGGCUUUGCCCGCUUCCGGAUGGGCCCGCGUCCCAUCAGCUAGUUGGUGGGGUAAUGGCCCACCAAGGCGACGACGGGUAGCCGGCCUGAGAGGGUGGCCGGCCACAGGGGCACUGAGACACGGGCCCCACUCCUACGGGGGGCAGCAGUUAGGAAUCUGCCGCAAUGGGCGCAAGCCUGACGGAGCGACGCCGCUUGGAGGAAGAAGCCCUUCGGGGUGUAAACUCCUGAACCCGGGACGAAACCCCCGACGAGGGGACUGACGGUACCGGGGUAAUAGCGCCGGCCAACUCCGUG